Molecule: transfer RNA, 72 nt
Filed under: Ornithorhynchus anatinus (platypus)
Lineage: Eukaryota; Metazoa; Chordata; Mammalia; Monotremata; Ornithorhynchidae
Rfam family: tRNA
About the family: Transfer RNA (tRNA) molecules are approximately 80 nucleotides in length. Their secondary structure includes four short double-helical elements and three loops (D, anti-codon, and T loops). Further hydrogen bonds mediate the characteristic L-shaped molecular structure. tRNAs have two regions of fundamental functional importance: the anti-codon, which is responsible for specific mRNA codon recognition, and the 3' end, to which the tRNAs corresponding amino acid is attached (by aminoacyl-tRNA synthetases). tRNAs cope with the degeneracy of the genetic code in two manners: having more than one tRNA (with a specific anti-codon) for a particular amino acid; and 'wobble' base-pairing, i.e. permitting non-standard base-pairing at the 3rd anti-codon position.
Source: Rfam by way of RNAcentral
AGCAGUGUGGCUCAGUGGAAAGAGCCCGGGCUUGGGAGGCCCAGGUCAUGGGUUCAAAUCCCGACUCCGCCU